This 384-nucleotide ribosomal RNA is filed under the name Triticum aestivum (bread wheat). RNAcentral describes it as "partial small subunit ribosomal RNA". Lineage: Eukaryota; Viridiplantae; Streptophyta; Magnoliopsida; Poales; Poaceae. The record is from RNAcentral.
AUGACGAAGAGGCACGGUCCUGCCGCCCGAGUUCACCGCGUUCACCCCCUUCUUCUCCUCCUCGCGGCCGUCUUGCUGCUCGCUGCCACGGCUGAUGGCAUCAGACCGGGCCCCGAUGAUGCUGAUGCGAAACCGGCAGUGCAGCGUGCACGGCCGGGGCAGGCGCCUGGUGCGGCGACGGCGACGGCGACGGAGGAGAAGGGGUUCCUGCAGGAGGAGGUGUACGGGACGGGGUCGAGCCUGCCGGACUGCACGCACGCGUGCGGCGCCUGCAAGCCGUGCAACCGCGUCAUGGUCAGCUUCAAGUGCUCCAUCGCCGAGCCCUGCCCCAUGGUCUACCGCUGCAUGUGCAAGGGCAAGUGCUACCCUGUCCCCUCAAGCUAG